This 276-nucleotide long non-coding RNA is filed under the name Mytilus galloprovincialis (Mediterranean mussel). The record is from RNAcentral. Lineage: Eukaryota; Metazoa; Mollusca; Bivalvia; Mytilida; Mytilidae.
GCUUUACAUUUAAUGAAAUACUAGAAGCCACUAACGCGGCACUGACCAAUAUUGAUCCAAGCGAGUAUGAAAUCAAAGUUCCACCAAAGGACACUAUACUUCGCCUAUUCAGGCUUAUUCUAGAGAACAAUUAAUUUAUUUUUAACAAUAAACUUUACCGUGAAACCUUGGGCGUGCCUAUGGGCGGAUCGGCAUCUGCUGAAUUGGCAGACCUUACAAUGUUUGUCAUUCUUGAAAACGUUUUACAACGCUUUCAGUACAGAAACAAAAUGAUAA